Molecule: non-coding RNA, 923 nt
Filed under: Dryophiops rubescens
Lineage: Eukaryota; Metazoa; Chordata; Lepidosauria; Squamata; Colubridae
Description: 12S ribosomal RNA
Rfam family: Bacterial small subunit ribosomal RNA
Source: RNAcentral
UAAGGUCUUGGUCUUAAACCUAAUACUACUUACACCCCCUAAUUAUACAUGCAAGACUCAUCACUACGGUGAAGUAGCCCACUAGGCAUACCUAGAGGAGCUGGCAUCAGGCAAGCACCCAUAACGCCAAGCAAACAAGCCACACCCGCACGGGCCAGCAGCAGUAGUUAAUAUUGGGCAAUAAGCGCAAGCUUGACCUAGCAACGGGGUUCACCAGGGCCGGUUAAUCUCGUGCCAGCGACCGCGGUUAUACGACAGACCCAAAAUAAUAUCAUCGGCGUAAAGCACGACCAGAUAAAAGUUACCAUAGAGCGGGGAAGCCAACCUGGGCUGUAAAAAGCCAUAAGCCACACCAACCACACUCUAAUAAAAACAACUUCGACUCGUGAAAGCUAGGACACAAACUAAGAUUAGAUACCUUACUAUGCCCAGCCAUAACACAGCAAUUAAAUAACGCAUUGUUCGCCAAAUAACUACGAGUAAAAACUUAAAAUUUAAAAGACUUGACGGUAUCUCACACCAACCUAGAGGAGCCUGUCAAAUAACCGAUACUCCACGAUAAACCCUACCCACACUAGCCAAACAGUCUAUAUACCGCCGUCGCCAGCUCACCUUAUGAGAGAAACAAAGUGAGCCAAAUAGUCACACACUAAUACGACAGGUCGAGGUGUAACUUAUGUGUGGGUAAAAGAUGGGCUACAUUUUCUAACACAGAAAACACGAAUAAACUAUGAAACUAGAAACUGAAGGCGGAUUUAGCAGUAAGCUGAGAACAAACUACCCAGCCGAAACCAACGCAAUGAGAUGCGCACACACCGCCCGUCAUCCCUGUAACACCAACACACCAGCAAAAUAUACUGAUAUAAUGUACCAAGCAGGGCAAGUCGUAACAUGGUAAGCGUACUGGAAGGUGCGCUUAGAAA